Long non-coding RNA from Neodiprion virginianus, 645 nucleotides. RefSeq lists it as uncharacterized. The record is from RefSeq and is a predicted model, not a curated record. The transcript is spliced from 3 exons. NCBI's taxonomy places the organism in Eukaryota, Metazoa, Arthropoda, Insecta, Hymenoptera, Diprionidae.
GCGACUCGAAAUCUCGUCCAUAAAACAGGGCUCAGGCAUAUAGUGUAUGUAUAAGAGCGCUUGACUAGUCCGCGUAAAUCACGCGAGGCGAAGUGGAGCCCGUCAAGCCGGCGACGUCCCUCCUCUUCAGUCUCGCCGAGCUGUCACCCGCGUUAUUAUAUCAGCGUGCAACCGCCAUUCUCUCGUUAUAAGACCGGCCGCGGGGCUCGCAGCGGAAAAAUGUCGUGCCGAAAUAAUCAGGAAACCCCGACGAUCAGUUAAGAGGGAUGAAAUUUUCCUCGAUCUAUUUACACAGCGAUGUUUGCAAUGAAAAUAGCCGAGAGCGAGGAUGAGAGGAAGUGAUUUUUUCCUCUAAUCGAAACGAAGGGGGGAGAUUGACCUGAAGAGUUUCAACCCGUAUCAAGAAUCACCAUUAGAAAAUACCUUCACGCCGCUGCACACUGGGCCUACUGUCGUAUGUAUUUUAUACGUAGUCCUUAUUUCGAAUAGCCAUAAAACGACGAAACACUCUUUGGGUGAGAGCAAAAAAAAAAGAAGAAAAAAAAAGGACGUGGAGGGUAAAAAAAAAAGGGGGAUCAAGUGGCUGAUUUACGACCGAAAUAACACUCGGAAUUGUAACGGAUAUAGGUAUGUUUUUAAAAAAAU